UNUGCACUGUGCCUUGGGAACAUGGG
Molecule: non-coding RNA, 26 nt
Filed under: Mus musculus (house mouse)
Lineage: Eukaryota; Metazoa; Chordata; Mammalia; Rodentia; Muridae
Source: RNAcentral